UUGAACGCUGGCGGAAUGCUUUACACAUGCAAGUCGAGCGGCAGCGCGGGGCAACCUGGCGGCGAGCGGCGAACGGGUGAGUAACAUAUCGGAACGUACCCUAUCGUGGGGGAUAACACAUCGAAAGAUGUGCUAAUACCGCAUACGAUCUAAGGAUGAAAGCGGGGGACUCGCAAGGGCCUCGCGCGAUUGGAGCGGCUGAUAUCAGAUUAGGUUGUUGGUGAGGUAAAAGCUCACCAAGCCGACGAUCUGUAGCUGGUUUGAGAGAACGACCAGCCACACUGGGACUGAGACACGGCCCAGACUCCUACGGGAGGCAGCAGUGGGGAAUUUUGGACAAUGGGCGAAAGCCUGAUCCAGCAAUGCCGCGUGCAGGAAGAAGGCCUUCGGGUUGUAAACUGCUUUUGUACGGAACGAAACGGUCCUUUCUAAUAAAGAGGGCUAAUGACGGUACCGUAAGAAUAAGCACCGGCUAACUACGU
RNAcentral lists this ribosomal RNA (482 nucleotides) under uncultured bacterium. RNAcentral's name for it is "bacterial SSU rRNA". It matches the Rfam family "Bacterial small subunit ribosomal RNA", at positions 30 to 506 of the family's 1533-position model. The record is from RNAcentral.